ACUUGGAAACAGGUGCUAAUACCGUAUAACAAUCGAAACCGCAUGGUUUUGAUUUGAAAGGCGCUUUCGGGUGUCGCUGAUGGAUGGACCCGCGGUGCAUUAGCUAGUUGGUGAGGUAACGGCUCACCAAGGCCACGAUGCAUAGCCGACCUGAGAGGGUGAUCGGCCACAUUGGGACUGAGACACGGCCCAAACUCCUACGGGAGGCAGCAGUAGGGAAUCUUCGGCAAUGGACGAAAGUCUGACCGAGCAACGCCGCGUGAGUGAAGAAGGUUUUCGGAUCGUAAAACUCUGUUGUUAGAGAAGAACAAGGAUGAGAGUAACUGUUCAUCCCUUGACGGUAUCUAACCAGAAAGCCACGGCUAACUACGUGCCAGCAGCCGCGGUAAUACGUAGGUGGCAAGCGUUGUCCGGAUUUAUUGGGCGUAAAGCGAGCGCAGGCGGUUUCUUAAGUCUGAUGUGAAAGCCCCCGGCUCAACCGGGGAGGGUCAUUGGAAACUGGGAGACUUGAGUGCAGAAGAGGAGAGUGGAAUUCCAUGUGUAGCGGUGAAAUGCGUAGAUAUAUGGAGGAACACCAGUGGCGAAGGCGGCUCUCUGGUCUGUAACUGACGCUGAGGCUCGAAAGCGUGGGGAGCAAACAGGAUUAGAUACCCUGGUAGUCCACGCCGUAAACGAUGAGUGCUAAGUGUUGGAGGGUUUCCGCCCUUCAGUGCUGCAGCUAACGCAUUAAGCACUCCGCCUGGGGAGUACGACCGCAAGGUUGAAACUCAAAGGAAUUGACGGGGGCCCGCACAAGCGGUGGAGCAUGUGGUUUAAUUCGAAGCAACGCGAAGAACCUUACCAGGUCUUGACAUCCUUUGACCACUCUAGAGAUAGAGCUUCCCCUUCGGGGGCAAAGUGACAGGUGGUGCAUGGUUGUCGUCAGCUCGUGUCGUGAGAUGUUGGGUUAAGUCCCGCAACGAGCGCAACCCUUAUUGUUAGUUGCCAUCAUUCAGUUGGGCACUCUAGCAAGACUGCCGGUGACAAACCGGAGGAAGGUGGGGAUGACGUCAAAUCAUCAUGCCCCUUAUGACCUGGGCUACACACGUGCUACAAUGGGAAGUACAACGAGUCGCGAAGUCGCGAGGCUAAGCUAAUCUCUUAAAGCUUCUCUCAGUUCGGAUUGUAGGCUGCAACUCGCCUACAUGAAGCCGGAAUCGCUAGUAAUCGCGGAUCAGCACGCCGCGGUGAAUACGUUCCCGGGCCUUGUACACA
This 1254-nucleotide ribosomal RNA is filed under the name Enterococcus durans. RNAcentral describes it as "bacterial SSU rRNA". It matches the Rfam family "Bacterial small subunit ribosomal RNA", at positions 148 to 1389 of the family's 1533-position model. Lineage: Bacteria; Bacillati; Bacillota; Bacilli; Lactobacillales; Enterococcaceae. The record is from RNAcentral.